RNAcentral lists this ribosomal RNA (253 nucleotides) under uncultured bacterium. RNAcentral describes it as "partial 16S ribosomal RNA". It matches the Rfam family "Bacterial small subunit ribosomal RNA", at positions 524 to 776 of the family's 1533-position model. The record is from RNAcentral.
UACGUAGGGACCAAGCGUUGUCCGGAUUUAUUGGGCGUAAAGAGCUCGUAGGCGGCCCUCCACGUCGGAUGUGAAAGCUCAGGGCUCAACCCUGAGAUGCCAUUCGAUACGGGAAGGCUAGAGGUAGGUAGGGGAAAGUGGAAUUCCUGGUGUAGCGGUGAAAUGCGCAGAUAUCAGGAGGAACACCAGUGGCGAAGGCGGUUACCUGGAGCUUUGCUGACGCUGAUGCGCGAAAGCGUGGGGAGCGAUCCGG